GUUCGGAAACGGACGCUAAUACCGCAUACGUCCUACGGGAGAAAGCAGGGGACCUUCGGGCCUUGCGCUAUCAGAUGAGCCUAGGUCGGAUUAGCUAGUUGGUGAGGUAAUGGCCCACCAAGGCUACGAUCCGUAACUGGUCUGAGAGGAUGAUCAGUCACACUGGAACUGAGACACGGUCCAGACUCCUACGGGAGGCAGCAGUGGGGAAUAUUGGACAAUGGGCGAAAGCCUGAUCCAGCCAUGCCGCGUGUGUGAAGAAGGUCUUCGGAUUGUAAAGCACUUGAGUUGGGAGGAAGGGCAUUACCUAAUACGUUAG
RNAcentral lists this ribosomal RNA (319 nucleotides) under uncultured bacterium. Its description in RNAcentral is "bacterial SSU rRNA". It matches the Rfam family "Bacterial small subunit ribosomal RNA", at positions 148 to 471 of the family's 1533-position model. The record is from RNAcentral.